Molecule: long non-coding RNA, 246 nt
Filed under: Elaeis guineensis (African oil palm)
Lineage: Eukaryota; Viridiplantae; Streptophyta; Magnoliopsida; Arecales; Arecaceae
Description: long non-coding RNA (EGUI_LNC027543)
Source: RNAcentral
UCCCGACAUCGAAAUUCCAACAGUGGUAUUAAAGCCAUGGGUUUUAUAUGCAUAAAAUUGACAUACAUGUUUUGAAAAGAGUUUCAAAAUCUAAUUUUUCUCAAUCCAUGAGAUGUAUAGAUGAAUAUUUUAAAUUAAAAAUUUAUUUUAGAUUUAAUUUAGUAUAUAUAGUUGGUAUAUUAAAGCAUGUAUAGAUCUGAAUUUUGAUCUAGAAUUGUUUUUAGUUUAUGUUCAUAUUAUAUGUAG